UUGAAGGUAUAGAAGCUCUCAGCAAUAUAUUUUAUUUUAGAAAUGUUUUGAGAUUGACACUGGUUACAUGUUGAGAAAGAGUCAUGUGACUGUCAUGUGUCCCUCCCCCCAGCUCCUAUUGGCUCAGUGGAAGUGUCAAUCAUCUGCUCCUCCAAUCAGACUACAGUGUUCUGCUACUCUGAGGGAGAUCUGAUCAUCUACAUCUGGACUCUGAAUGGAAAAAUACUAGAAGAAGGAAUAAUGUUUGGAAACAGCAGCAUUGAUCUGGAUGAGGGAACUGAUGGAAACAUCAGCUGCAGCGUGAAGAACAACGUCAGUCAUGCACAGAAGACCAUUGGACUCAAACCCUGUCCUGAAGGGAUACAGAGGAACUGGAACAAAGAAGUCAAAAGACAAAAGAAGACGGAGAAACGUUGAGGAAAGCAGGACAGAAUGUCAACUGAUGGAACAGCAGGAGAUGGUUUUUAGGAUAAGAAAAACAAUUCAACUUAUGUGAAAACAAGAGGAUUUGAAUAAGAAAAUUAUGAGAAUGCUGAAAAGAAAUGAUUGAGUUGGUUAACUUUAAUUUGGAGUUGCAAUCUAUCGCAAAUGAUAUCAGAACUUUGAGAUUGCAAACGUCAGCUACAAAACCUGAAAAGCCUUAAAAGGCAAUAAUGAGAUAUACUUUCUGUUAGAAUUUGAUCAACAGUUAAGAUUGCCAUCUAUGUAUGCUUUUUUGCCAACUGUAUGAUGAUUGUGCAAGGAAGUGCAUUUUGCAACAACGUUGCAGAAUGGACCUUCUUUCUUAAAGUGUUGUAUUGCAAUAUGUUUUAUCUUAUCAUAAAAAAAAUGAUGCUAUGCAGUUUAGAAAUAGUUCUUUGCUUAGACUAUGCCUUUAAGAUGUUGUAAUUGUUUAGAUUAAAACUAGAGAUAGAUUAAUUUGCUUUAAUGAAAAAGAUGCAGCAAAUACUUCAUCUGAAUUUGUACUAAUAGGUGAAGAAGAGGUUGCUUCUAGGUGAAGGGUCAUGCCCCUGUAUCCAUAGCAACCUGUGUAUGUGUGUGCGUGUGGGUGAGUGUGUUCACCGAAAAGGACAUCUGGAAAGGAAGACGUGUUGUUUUUGUGACUAUAAAAAGUUAUAGUUGGAACACAUGCACUGCCGCAAUUCGGGGUGAAGACUUACGCUAUUUACUUUUAUUGUCAUUUGCUUAUGAGUUAUUGUUUUAAUAAAGCGAAACCAUUUCCUAUGGUGAUGCGUUAA
Molecule: long non-coding RNA, 1238 nt
Organism: Cyprinus carpio (common carp)
Lineage: Eukaryota; Metazoa; Chordata; Actinopteri; Cypriniformes; Cyprinidae
Source: Ensembl